GCUGAGAGACAGCUCAGUUGGUAGAGCAUGAGACUCUUAAUCUCAGGGUUGUGGGUUUGAGCCCCACGCUGGGCA
Molecule: transfer RNA, 75 nt
Filed under: Podarcis lilfordi (Lilford's wall lizard)
Lineage: Eukaryota; Metazoa; Chordata; Lepidosauria; Squamata; Lacertidae
Description: tRNA.Lys
Rfam family: tRNA (bases 11-67)
About the family: Transfer RNA (tRNA) molecules are approximately 80 nucleotides in length.
Source: RNAcentral